GACGAACCGUGCGAACGUUGUUCGGAAUCAUUGGGCUUAAAGGGCGCGUAGGCGGGCUUUCAAGUCUGGGUUGAAAUACUCUAGCUCAACUAGAGAACUGGCCUGGAUACUGAAGGUCUCGAGGAACGUAGGGGCAUCUGGAACUAAUGGUGGAGCGGUGAAAUGCGUUGAUAUCAUUAGGAACUCCGGUGGCGAAGGCGAGGUGCUGGACGUUUUCUGACGCUGAGGCGCGAAAGCCAGGGGAGCGAACGGG
This 253-nucleotide ribosomal RNA is filed under the name uncultured bacterium. Its description in RNAcentral is "partial 16S ribosomal RNA". It matches the Rfam family "Bacterial small subunit ribosomal RNA", at positions 524 to 776 of the family's 1533-position model. The record is from RNAcentral.